GAUGAAGAACGUAGCGAAAUGCGAUAAGUAAUGUGAAUUGCAGAAUUCAGUGAAUCAUCGAAUCUUUGAACGCACAUUGCGCCCGCCAGUAUUCUGGCGGGCAUGCCUGUUCGAGCGUCAUUUCAACCAUCAAGCCCCCGGCUUGUGUUGGGGACCUGCGGCUGCCGCAGGCCCUGAAAACCAGUGGCGGGCUCGUUGUCACACCGAGCGUAGUAGAUUUUCAUCUCGCUCAGGGCGUGCUGCGGGUUCCGGCCGUAAAAAGCCUAUUUACCCAAGGUUGACCUCGGAUCAGGUAGGAAGACCCGCUGAACUUAAGCAUAUCAAUAAGCGGAGGA
Molecule: unclassified non-coding RNA, 335 nt
Filed under: soil metagenome
Description: partial contains 5.8S ribosomal RNA, internal transcribed spacer 2, and large subunit ribosomal RNA
Rfam family: 5.8S ribosomal RNA (bases 1-120)
Source: RNAcentral